Molecule: ribosomal RNA, 585 nt
Filed under: uncultured bacterium
Lineage: Bacteria
Description: partial 16S ribosomal RNA
Rfam family: Bacterial small subunit ribosomal RNA
Source: RNAcentral
UGGGGAAUUUUGGACAAUGGGCGAAAGCCUGAUCCAGCAAUGCCGCGUGUGUGAAGAAGGCCUUCGGGUUGUAAAGCACUUUUGUCCGGAAAGAAAUCCUUGGCUCUAAUACAGUCGGGGGAUGACGGUACCGGAAGAAUAAGCACCGGCUAACUACGUGCCAGCAGCCGCGGUAAUACGUAGGGUGCAAGCGUUAAUCGGAAUUACCGGGCGUAAAGCGUGCGCAGGCGGUUUGCUAAGACCGAUGUGAAAUCCCCGGGCUCAACCUGGGAACUGCAUUGGUGACUGGCAGGCUAGAGUAUGGCAGAGGGGGGUAGAAUUCCACGUGUAGCAGUGAAAUGCGUAGAGAUGUGGAGGAAUACCGAUGGCGAAGGCAGCCCCCUGGGCCAAUACUGACGCUCAUGCACGAAAGCGUGGGGAGCAAACAGGAUUAGAUACCCUGGUAGUCCACGCCCUAAACGAUGUCAACUAGUUGUUAGGGAUUCAUUUCCUUAGUAACGUAGCUAACGCGUGAAGUUGACCGCCUGGGGAGUACGGUCGCAAGAUUAAAACUCAAAUGAAUUGACGGGGUCAUAGCUGUUUCCU